CUCUCAUCUAAUUCUAUACCAAAUUUUUCUGAAUUUUUUUUUCUACUUGCAAUUAAUUUCACCUCUCCCCUAAAUAUACAAUCCCCCUAUUAUAAUGCAAUCAAUUCUGCAUUAAAUAACCCUCAUAAUUUUCUCUUCUCCUACGUAGUAUAUAAACCUUGUUAAGCUUUUUCUAUUUUCUCCACACUCCAAACAUCUCCUUUUUGGCUAUACAAAAAUUGAAUUUUCUAUUCUAUCAGGUAUUGUUUACAAAGUUGUUCGAAUUAGGAAACAAAGAGAAAAAGAAAAUGAACUACAGAAAGGAAAGUAGUCAUGAUCCAAAGCUUGAUUUGAAGUUGAAUUUAUCACCACCUAGGGAAAAUAAUAUUUUUCCAAUUUCACCAAGUAGAUCAUCAUCAUAUUCUUCUAUGGAAAGAUCACCACCAAGUUCUUGUAUUUCAAGAGAACCAACUCCAGAAAAUCAUCAACAAUUUUUUGCUAGUCCAGAGACAACAACAACUUCAAUGAUGCUAGUGGGCUGUCCAAGAUGUUUAAUGUAUGUUAUGUUAUCAGUUGAUGAUCCAAAAUGCCCAAAAUGUAAGAGUACUGUUUUGCUUGAUUUCUUCCGUGAGGAUCGAGUCAAGAAUUCAAAGAAUUGAUGAUCGUCAAGAAAAAAUUCGGUGAAUCUUAAUAGCUGAGUUGGUUGGUUGACUUCCCGAUCUUUCAACUUGUUGGUGAGUGUUCGAUUCCUCACGGCCGGUUUUAAAAAAAUAUUAUAACCCUUUACCAAGGUUAAUUAGGUUUUCGUAGCUACUAGUCUUUUAAUUUUCUUCAUAUAUGUGUAAUCCCUUUUGCCUUUUGGUUCUCUUACAAGAAAGAGGGAAGAAAGUUUUUUUGAGAGUUUGUUGAGGUUAUUGAAUGGAUGUGACGAAAAUCAUGAAUGUAACCAAUUUGGUUGUACAUCAUAUUAUGGUCAUCUUAUUAAUUCAUUCAUGUUA
Capsicum annuum is the source of this 977-nucleotide long non-coding RNA. RefSeq lists it as uncharacterized. The record is from RefSeq and is a predicted model, not a curated record. The transcript has 2 exons. Lineage: Eukaryota; Viridiplantae; Streptophyta; Magnoliopsida; Solanales; Solanaceae.